Molecule: ribosomal RNA, 222 nt
Filed under: uncultured bacterium
Lineage: Bacteria
Description: partial 16S ribosomal RNA
Rfam family: Bacterial small subunit ribosomal RNA
Source: RNAcentral
AGUAAUGUCUGGGAAACUGCCUGAUGGAGGGGGAUAACUGCUGGAAACGGUAGCUAAUACCGCAUAACGUCGCAAGACCAAAGAGGGGGACCUUCGGGCCUCUUGCCAUCGGAUGUGCUCAGAUGGGAUUAGCUAGUAGGUGGGGUAACGGCUCACCUAGGCGACGAUCCCUAGCUGGUCUGAGAGGAUGACCAGCCACACUGGAACUGAGACACGGUCCAG